CUCUGGCCAUCCGGAAGAUCCCAGCCAACACAAAAUCGCAUAUGCUAGCGAAUAAGUGUACAAGGUGGAGGCGUUAUAGGUGCAUUCCUCCAUUUGACUGCGUGCAAAAUGCACGUAUAUGGCCUCCACUUUGUAAACUUAUUCGCUAUGAUAUACGAUCUUGUGUUUGCUGGGAUGCUCCCUGACGAACCAAAAUCGAGCACGACGCCACGCAAAACGUUUUCAACGUUCAACGUCAAACGCCCGUCAAAGCAGCUGAAAUAACCUAAACCCAAAUCCUUACCCCGUCCGUCCUGUAUUAAGUUUUUUAACCUUGAGUCGUCACGAGUAUUAUGGUCUAUGUCCCCUCUAUGUCCAACUAACUGUUAAGAUAAGAUGAUAUACCAUGUAAAAAUAUCAUACUUGAGAAUUGCGGCUCCGCAAAGUGUCACACACAACUGAGCCUACCAAAUAAAUGAGCUGGUUAAAAAAAAACAUCGGAAUCACCGUGUCUUGCACAUCCUAGUAUUCUAAUAUGUAUACCGAUACCUUGCUUAAGCAUAUAAGGUAGACAAAAAAUAUGCGUUUAGUUUUCUUAAUCUUCCAGUUACCCUAAACGCAACUUCCGAGAUUUUUCCGAAAGGCGAUCAUGAAUCAUCGCUGAUGGUAUCUUCGAGUUCAAGACUACUGCUGGUGCUCCAUCCUAACAGGGGGAACUACUACAACCGAUUGGAAAACCGCUUCGCCCAUAAAUGCAACCGCAACCGCAAGUAUACCCAGAGGCACUUUUAGUUAGAGGUUAGACACUGGUUAGGGGAUGUUAGUUAUGCUUCCCUUCAAGAAACAUAAAACAUAAAAAAUGUUAUGUUAUCUUUCUUUUUUUCGCGCUAUGCUGACUUGCUGACAGCUCAAAACAAAACAAAGAAAAAAGAAAAUGCGUUUUGUUUCUGAAUCAAGUCUUGAUCGUCUUGAUGGUACUGUAUCUCAGAUUCGAUAGUGCACCUGAAUUUUGCGGUUUUUUCGGGAGUAGGCAAUAGAAGCUGCUGUGGAUAAGAGCAAAAUGGAGCCAGCGAUGGACAGUGAAUCGUAUGAACUGCACCACAAAUAUUUCAUGGCGAUCGUUGCUUGAGUGCAUAAAGAUGGACUUUUGAGACCGGCGCUUGUUAAAACGGUGGUCAAAGGCCGAGAAUGACCUCGUUUCUCCAGGAGCGAAAGCAAUGCGACAAAAAAUUGAAUGCGUCAAUGCACCGAAGUGGAGAAGUCUCGUCGUGAAGCGAAAAAACGACACGACGGUUGGCUGAGGCAGGAAAAACUGCUGCGCAGAAUGAAUUCGAGUCCGUUCCGGUCACGCUGGUUGCAUCCUGAGAAGCCACGAUCCUGGAGACGGGCGCAGUCAGCCUAACGAUGGAACAGUGCAUGAAGAUGGAUACACCCAAGAUACGCAGGAUAGUUUUAGUUUAG
Molecule: long non-coding RNA, 1440 nt
Organism: Armigeres subalbatus
Lineage: Eukaryota; Metazoa; Arthropoda; Insecta; Diptera; Culicidae
Exons: 3
Source: RefSeq, a predicted model, not a curated record